AUUGAACGCCGGCGGCAGGCCUAACACAUGCAAGUCGAGCGGAUGAAGGGAGCUUGCUCCUGGAUUCAGCGGCGGACGGGUGAGUAAUGCCUAGGAAUCUGCCUGGUAGUGGGGGAUAACGUCCGGAAACGGGCGCUAAUACCGCAUACGUCCUGAGGGAGAAAGUGGGGGAUCUUCGGACCUCACGCUAUCAGAUGAGCCUAGGUCGGAUUAGCUAGUUGGUGGGGUAAAGGCCUGCCAAGGCGACGAUCCGUAACUGGUCUGAGAGGAUGAUCAGUCACACUGGAACUGAGACACGGUCCAGACUCCUACGGGAGGCAGCAGUGGGGAAUAUUGGACAAUGGGCGAAAGCCUGAUCCAGCCAUGCCGCGUGUGUGAAGAAGGUCUUCGGAUUGUAAAGCACUUUAAGUUGGGAGGAAGGGCAGUAAGUUAAUACCUUGCUGUUUUGACGUUACCAACAGAAUAAGCACCGGCUAACUUCGUG
Molecule: ribosomal RNA, 484 nt
Filed under: uncultured bacterium
Lineage: Bacteria
Description: partial 16S ribosomal RNA
Rfam family: Bacterial small subunit ribosomal RNA
Source: RNAcentral